RNAcentral lists this unclassified non-coding RNA (304 nucleotides) under Hyalorbilia oviparasitica. Its description in RNAcentral is "partial internal transcribed spacer region". The stretch from base 1 to 46 matches the Rfam family "Eukaryotic small subunit ribosomal RNA", at positions 1786 to 1831 of the family's 1831-position model. The record is from RNAcentral. Lineage: Eukaryota; Fungi; Ascomycota; Orbiliomycetes; Orbiliales; Orbiliaceae.
AAGUCGUAACAAGGUUUCCGUAGGUGAACCUGCGGAAGGAUCAUUACAGUAGUAAUGCACGCGGGAAGCCGGCUCCGUGUCGCCCCGUGUACAGGCCUCGACCGUAAAAGGUCGGGCGACCUGUUUAAACCCUUUGUGAAAACCCCCAAGUUGCUUCGGCAGCUCGCUGCUAUUAGGUUAGCGGCGUGUCAGCCUGCCGACGGCACCCAUUUGGAAACCCAUUUAUGUAAACUUUAGCACUUACACGUCUGAGCGCGAAGUCGAAUUGACUAUAAAACUUUCAACAACGGAUCUCUUGGUUCCC